Molecule: ribosomal RNA, 252 nt
Filed under: uncultured bacterium
Lineage: Bacteria
Description: partial 16S ribosomal RNA
Rfam family: Bacterial small subunit ribosomal RNA
Source: RNAcentral
UACGAGGGGUCCUAGCGUUGUUCGGAAUUAUUGGGCGUAAAGAGUAUGUAGGCGGCUAGAUAAGUCAGGUGUGAAAGCCCCGGGCUCAACCCGGGAAGUGCAUUUGAUACUGUCUAGCUUGAGUACUGGAGAGGGUAGUGGAAUUCCAGGUGUAGUGGUGAAAUACGUAGAUAUCUGGAGGAACACCGGUGGCGAAGGCGGCUACCUGGCCAUGUACUGACGCUGAGAUACGAAAGCGUGGGGAGCAAACAG